AUUGCAUUCCUAAAUUUUAAAAUUCAAAUUUAAAUUUACAUUUAUAAAAAUCUAGUCACAUCUGAAUUACAAUGAAAUGUAUGGGCUUGGUAUACUACUACAUUUAAAGUGCCCGUGAAAAUAAAUAUGUAACUGCUAGUUUUGUUUUAAACUUUUGUAUUAUCUAAAAUUAUGACACAUUGCCAUACUUUGGGAAACUGCUUCUUUGCUUUGGAAAUUAUGCCAAUUGCAGCUCUUUGAUUUAAAAAAGUAAUCAUUAUUAUUUUCAUUAUAUAUAUUUAUUUGGUACAAUUUGAUAAUUUGUGUAUACAAUGUAAAAUAUAUGUUGAUUACAUUGACUAGUUAACAUUUCUAUCUUUGUAAACAAAAUAACUUAUUAUCAUGUAAUAAUUGUACAUACUUAUGGGGCAUAGGGUGAUGCUUCAGUAAAUAUACAUACUGAAUUAAAUCGGGACAAUAAAUGUUUAUCUGUUGUGAUUUGUAUCUAGCUGUCCUCCCAAAAUUUCGUGUGGUCAUAGGUGGGUCUUUUUGGAGGUGGCUGGAUCUAGAGUAUGUGAUGGUGGGGUCAAGGAUGUGAUGCAGGGAUUGAUUCACAGUGCAAUGCUAGGAUUAAGGGCACCCCACUUUGGGUGAGAGCGCUACCUGCCCUAAGGCUAGCCUGGAUGAAAUAUAAGAGAUGGAAAUAAGGAUGCUGUGGUCCUUGCUUUUUGGUUGUCACUUGCUGCUUUGGUGCCUCCUUCUCUGUAAUGCCCCUCUGCCAUGCCACCCUGUGCUGGAGCCUGCCAACUAUGACUGAAUCCUCUACAAACUAUAAGCUACAACAAAACUUUUCUUCCUUAAUUUUGGGUGUUGAGUGCUUUGUCUCAGUAACAAGAAAAAAUAACUAAGACAUUAUCAUUACUUUAUCUUUGGACUCUCAUAGCUUCUCUUUUCUAGUUAUUAAUAAAGUGUAUAAAGAAGUCUUAGUCACUGUCUUAUCACUGGAUACAAUAUUUGAUAUCCAUAAGUAAAAGGAGAGGCUGACUCAUGGCUUUUCUGGGAUUUAGUCUAUAGUGGGCUGGCUUCGAGGUUCAGAGGGGAUGGUGGAAGGGUCUGGUGAAGCUAGUCAUGGCAGCUCGACAGUGAGAGCAAAGUCAGGAGCCAGGUGGGAGAUAUGGCCUUCCGGGUCUUACCUGUCAAUGGCCCAUAUCUUCCAACAAGACUCUGCCUCCUAAUAGCACAUUUAACUCUCAAUUCUUCAGUGGAGUAACCUGCUAAUCAGUAUAGUAUUUCCAUGAUUCAAUCACCUUUUAAACCCUACCUUUAAAUAUCUGAGCCUUUUGGUGGACAUUCUAGAUCAAAACUGUAACCAUAGAUUAUUGUGAAGUAUAGUUACUCCAUUGUGCGGUAAAAUACUAGAGCUCAAUUCAUUUUAUCUAACUGUGUUGGUGUGUGUUAUUCCUAUAUUAAUGUGUCAAUAGUGAUAUUCCCUGGCUUUGUAUUGUAAGUGUGAGAGGAAUUAGGUAAGAACAUGGAACAAAACCAUUUUGGGGGCCUUGGUCACAUCUGUGCAGUUGUCAAUCUGUUGGGCCUUUCUGCAGUUAAGAGCUGGUGGAAAGGCAGAGAGUGCUGAGCACAUGUGAUGACACAUGUCCUUUUAAGGGCCAGUUCCUUCUAGUGAUUCUUCCUCAAGGUUGGAGAGUUACAUUCUUCAACUUGAUUUGUGAUGAAAUAAAAAUUGUCUCUGGUUGAAAAUGUCUACGUCUAAAAGCCCACAGUAAAAACCAUCAUAUGUGUUUUUUCUUAUCCAGGAUGCUGUCUUCUAGUUUCAGACAGAGUAAAAAUAUAUUCUUUAUAUCUUAGGUAUUGAGUUUAGGUGCAUUUUAGAUUGCAGUGCUAAUUUAUUUUAUUUAUAUGUUUAGACUUUGAGCCUUUGGAACUCAAUAAAGCAAAUUCAUGCAAAUCAUAAGCUAGUCAUUAAUUUGAACAAAAGGUUUUGAUUUCUUUUCUGAAAAAAUAGAUUCCAAGUACUGAAGAAAAACUGAGAAACAUUUUGUAUGUUUAUUUAAAUAAAUUUGCACACUGAAAAUAAUGCCUAACACCAACAGGAACUGUUGCAGUUUAUGAAGAAGACAUUCAUGUUAUCUGGAUCCCAGUUUUUCCCCAGGAAUUGUGCCUAUAACUUGAGUUAUCUAUGUGAAUCAUGUUGGUGGGGGGAGGUGGGGCCAUCUUACAAGAUUCAGACCUGGGUCAGUAAGAGCUGGGGGAUGCUUGUUGGAUUAGUUGGAGAGAAGCAUCUGACAUUUCAGCCUUUCUGUAUUAACUUGGUUCUUUGAAAACCAAUAAAACACAAAAGUAACAUUUUUAAUACAUUUGCUUAAAAGCUUUUGUCCUUAUUUUGUUAUGUUUACUCACCUUAAAAGCCAUUUCAACCUUCUGAAGAAUAAUUUGUAAUUAGAAGUGAUUAUAUUUUUUAAAAUGUAUGCCUUUGGUCCAGAAUAGUUCUCAGAGGAUAUGCUGCUCAUAUAAAUACCAGGGUGCACACAGAACUUGGAUUAAUAGACCGCGAAGGGCUAUUUUUAGGGAGAGUUUAAGUGCAUAUUAUUGUUAUUCCUACAUUGUAUUAAUAAUAUCCUACAUGUGUCUAGCAUGUAUAUUGCAUUUUAUUACUGUACAGCUUGCCAGUGCAUAUAUUAUCUCAUUUGUUCCUCACAACAGCCCUGGGAAGGAAGUUGGGUUGUUUUUAAAUUGUUGACACUGAAGUUCUUUGCUUGAGUUGAAGUCUCAGUAAUGUCAGGGAUAAAAAAGAUUCUAUAGAACUGCAAACAUUCUUUUCAGUAUAUUUUUGCCCAGUGUUAUAGAAAAUGCUCAGAUUGAGUUAAGAAAUAUCUAUUCCUGGUGAGGUACUAUAGCUCAUUAUUUCCUUUACCUGGUAGGAGGAAGAAAGAGAAAAUGACAUGAGUCAUUUCAGAGGAGAAACUUCGGGAUUAAGGAAUAAAUUUGUUUCCCACUUCACAAUUAGUAGCCAACUUUUGGGUUUCUCACUGAACACUGUUCUAUAUCCUUCCUGGGCCAUUCGUACAUGUGCCACUUUCACUACUGAGAUUGCCAGAGGAAAUAAAACUACAGUAUUUUGCUGAAGUUAAUAGUGACUUACUCUGGGCUUAUGUAGAAUUUAGGAAUAUUGUAAAAUUUCCUAUUUUACCAGCAGAAACAUGGGGAAGCAAUGACAACAAGCUGUGGGGUAUGUUGAUAGCUAAGCUGAAAUCGUACUACCAGGACUUCUUGGAAUCUGGUCUGGAAAAUACUUAAAUAAUUUAUUGUAAUGAUUAUUUCUAUAGGACUCAACUUCAGGAUUAAAUGCUAAUUUUAUUUGACUUACAUAAAGAGAAAUUAUUACUGCAGUUACUUUUAAAGAGCUCCUUGGGUUUGCUGGGAGUACCUGAAUUAACAGUAAAUUGAGCUCCAUUAUGUAUUAAUGGGUUCAGGUGAUUUAUUGGUGGUAUAUCUGGCAAUUAGCCAUCCUGCAUAGUGUCUUCUGUUUGACCCUUCUCUUUUUCACUAUGUACUGAGUAUGAGUGUAAGGAUGAGUGCCUUGAACCAGUGGCGUAGUCUGCCCAUCCACCUGAUACGGUCUUUCAUUAUUUUAAUGGAGAGUUACGAUCUGUUUUGAAGGAUAUUUGGACACACUUAAUACCUUUUGGAUGAAACCAUUGGAGGCAUAAAUGAGAGUACAUAUUGUCAUUGAACUAUUAAAAAUCUUUACUCAGUCACCAGAUAGCCAUUAUGUUAGAUAAAUCACAUUAGAUAUUUCCUUUAUUUUUUAAAAUUAUACAGUUGCUUUUAGCUUCUGCGGCACUUAUACAAGGAAUUUCUCUGAGUGGACUGCAGCACAGUGAGUUAUAGCCAACAGCAUUAUUUGCAAGAGUCACUUUGGGGUGCCUAAUUUGUCCUCAAGAGAAAUAUUUUUUUGCUCAGCCUGCAAAAUGUUGUAAUAAAAAUUGGUGAUUGAUGUUGAUUAUAAGAUUAAAUGGCUCGGCCACAGUGCUAAUGUUAUAAAUCAGUAGAGUCCAAAGUUGUGAUUGGCCACUAGAGAAGGUUUUAAGUGAGUGCUUUAAAAAAAUGAGUCAAUAUAUUUCAAGUCUUUAUAGUAUUGACUCCUUAAGUUUAUUGAAAGUAUAUUUAAAACAUUCUAUGGUGUGUCGAAUAAGUUGCUAAUACAAUUUGGUUUUGCUUAUCUAAGCGUGGAAGAAAAUAUAUGAAAAUAUAUGAAAAACUCUUUUCUAGAAGAGAAAGCAUGUGGGAAUUAUUAAGACCAAGUUAAUUACUUGAUGUGUUAACUGGAGAAGUUUUCUGUUUGAUUGCUCAGAUUCAUGUCUCUCUCGGUCUGUCUCUCUCUCUCUCUCUCUCUCUCUCUGUCUCUGUCUCUCUCUCUUUUUUUUUAACAUUUCGUAGGGAAAUGUUAAAAGAGAGGAGAAAGGAGCCCCUCCCAUCAUCUAUGGUCUGGUGCCAUCUUUCCUUGUCAAGGGGCUAAUCUCUGUUCUUUGGGUAAUAUAAAGAUAUCCAGCAUAGCUAGAUAGAUGCCUCACUUCAGGUUGAUAAAAAAGAAGGGCAGAGAGGUUAAAUCAGGAAAUAUAGGCUGGGACUUGGCUAGAUCGUCUGAAGCCAGGAUACAAUCUUGCGGCAGGCAAGGGGUCUGAGAAAGGAAGGGAAGCAAUGGUGAUUGUACGAGACAGAGCUGAACAGCAGCUCUCCAAACUGAUCAGGGUUGGAGCGAGGGAUGAGAGCUUGCCAAAAUUAACUAAGGAGAUCCCACAAAAGAUGAAAAUCUAGAUGCUCUACUGGUCACAUAAGUCCAGACCAAAUACAUGCUGAGAAGGAACUACACAAGAAUAUGAAUACAUAGAGGCAUGAUUUGUGUGUGUAUGUAUUUAUAUGUGCAUACAUGCCUACAUAUUGGAGAUUUCCACCAUAAGCAUUAUGAUUUAUUUUUUCUAGUUGACACCCAUUACCCAUUGAAAAAAUAGGCAAUCUUUGACUGAACCAGUACAUUUGUAUUUCUACAGUUGGAUUUAAUAUUCCUUAAAAAUAGACUUUUUGCAAAAGUACCAAGAUUACUUCUAAAUAAAGAAAUCUAUUUUUUUGUCAGAGAUUUACUUGAAUAAGACUUAAUUUUAGAAAACAGUUACUGAAAAGUUAAUCAUAUUGAUGCUAUCUAGAGAGGAGUUUGGGUAAUAUAAAGACAUUUUAUACUGACAUAGAUAUGGAUAUACUUGAAGUUAGAUUUUCAAUAAAGAAGAUGGAAGAGAAUAAAUGAAAGAUGAGGAAAAAGAUCAACAGGGGAAAAGCUGGAAGAAUCACAUAGUGGUCUGAGGGCGCGGGGAGAAUGCACUUGAAAGAGUGCAGAGCUGUAUUCGCUGAUGCCUGUCCAACAGGGUUAGGAUGGAAACAGGAGAUUCUGGAGUGUGAGCUUUGUUUUCUGAAACGCGCUUAACCAUUUCUUAUGAUUUUUUGUUAAUAAAAAUGAUUUAAAAAUUUUUUUCAGUUACUAUGCUUUCUCUUGUUAUUUUCAAUAGAAUUGUCCACAUCAUCAGACAUGAUAUAAUUGAACAUAGCAUUACAUAGCUAUUUUAAUAAAAACACAACUUUGGAGACAUUGUAGGACUUUGAAAGCAGUUAAUAAUCAAACCAGAAUGAACAUCUUAUUACAUCUUGUCAUCUUCAGAGUAGUUGCCUUACUCUUAGACUUGAUACUAUCAAGCAUACCAAAUUUGAAUAAAAUCAGUCAAGGCAAAAUAGCAGUCUAACAAACCAGCUUCAAAUAAGAUCAGUCAUAGGAAGACAAUGUAAGUAAUACAGGGCUUCAGUUUAAGUUAAUAGGAAAUUAAGGAUUGUUACUGGGGUAUAGUCUAUAAUUUUUGAGAUAGCUGUCUGUGCCCUCAAAUCUAGUAUGAGUAGACAGACUGAAACAAAAUAAAAUCAAACUAAACAGAGUGAUAAGACUACUGUGGCUUUGUAUAUUCAGGAUGCUUUGUAUAUUUUGGGUUCCACUAGCUCCUUUAGUUUUUAGAUUAGGGGGCCAAUCCAUUAUCUAUCUGAGUGGUGCUGAACCAUUUUACCCCUGAGCUUGAUCUUGAGCUGCACUCCUUUACUUACUAAAGCCACAAGGUUUUCCUUCUUAAUAGCUGUGUAGUUCUACACUGCACAAAAGUGUCAUAACUUUCCAACCUAUCUGCGGCUGCUGGACAAGUUGUCCCUAUUUCUAUCUGGUGCUCUGUCACACAGAGCAUUGUUUUCUCAUCUUUGACUUUCAGUUUAUUAAUCUCUUUCAGGUUCAAUGUAUUUCCUAUUCAGAGCAUCUUGAUGGAUCCUGCCUCUUAAUCUACUCUGCCUGUGUUUCUUUUUGUUAGUGUAUCAAAGCUAUCUAUAUUAGAGAUUAUAGCCCACCGUUUCUUCCUCAUCUCUGCUAUUAUGUUUUUCUGCUAUUAUUUGUCCACUUUUCUUCUUCAUUCCACUGUCUGCCCCAUUCAUUAAGGCCUGUCUGCCACUGUUGCUGGAAUCCUGGUAUUUUUUUCUCUCCCUCUCUAGAAUGUCCUUCAGUAUUUUUUGUAGGGUUGGAUUGGUGGCCGUGAACUGCCACAGUUCCUCUUUGUCUUGGAAACAUCUUAUUUCUCCAUUAAUUUUGAGAGUGAGUUUUUCAGGGCACAUCAAUCUAGAUUGGAGGUUAUUUUCUUUCAGGGCUUGGACUAUUUCCCCCCAGGCUCUUCUCGAUUUGAUAGUUUAUGUUGAUAAGUCUGUCAUUAUUUUGAUGAUUUUUCCUUUGUAGGUAAUCUGCUUCUUUUCUCUGGCCACUUUUAAUAUCGUUCUUGUGGUGGAUUUCUGGGAUCUUGAUUAUUAUAUGUCUAGGUGUAGAUCUGUUUUGGUUUUAGUUGGUUGGAGUUCUGUAUGCCUCAUUUAUCUGGUAUCAUUUCUUUUUCCUAUGCUUGGGAAGUUCUCCUUAAUUAUUCCUGUGUAUAGUCUUUGUAAUUCAUUUGUGGUUACUCCUGCUCUUCGCUCAUGUUUUUUAUUCUUAAAGUUAUAGAUCCUCUUGUCAUCUUCUAGCCUUUGAAUUGUUACCUCCUGGUUCCUUGUUACUUUUAAUAGGUCUUUUCUUUCAGGAUCACACAUUGUAAAUCUCUCUUCAAGUUUUGAAAGGCUAACUUGAGUUUAUGUCAAGGCAUUUUGCCAGCUUUCAAUGGAGUUUUUAGUUUCCUGUUAAUUUCUUUGGAUCUGUUUCAUGUAUUCUAGAUUUUGUUUAUAUUCUUCACCAAAGGUUUCUCUUCCUUUUCUGGGUUCCUCUGUUCUUCCAUCUGUGUUUUCUUGAGAGGGGCUUAGCAUUUCUUUAAUUAAUCUUUUUAUAUCUUGCCUCACUUGGAUUAAAAUUUCAGUUUUAAGUUCGUCUAUGAGGUCACGAAGGUAUUUCUUUAUGUCUGCUGAUGUUGUGGCCAAUAUUGCAUGAUUGCUGCACUGGUUCUCUUCUGUAUUUACUUCUCCUGGGCUUAUUUUCCCUGGGUCAGCAGCUGGAGGCUUUCUCUUGUUUCUUUCUCUUGUCAUGUUUCUGGUUUCUUUCAGACAGGUGUAUGGUGGAGAUCUCAGGCCCUCUCUAUAUCGCUUACAGUUUUUCUGAAGCAUGCAGGCUGGGGGCUUGCUGCCUUCUCCAGUUUGCUGCUAUCUGAGAUGCACACAGGGAUGAUGCGGGCUGGCCCCUCUUCUUUGAGCCAGUCAACUGGCAAGAACCCUCAGCCACUUAGGCUGUGCUGUGGUGGACGUUACGGAUUCGGGACAGUUUUGUCCCUGGUUAUUGGGUCCUGACCAGGGGCAUGGCUCACCCCAAGCUCAUCCCACCAGUUCUCUCUGGGCCAGGGAUGGCUGACUGAGGCCACCACGAUGCCGGGCUCUGUGCUACUCCAAGAUGUCUUCCAGCCAGCCACACCCACCACAGGACCCAAUUUUCAGCACUCACCGAGAAAUAAUGCCGCUCUCCAUCUCGGCUCUACUCCACGCUGCACUGUGUCCUCCUGCCACGGGCCUGGGACUCACCAACUCUCCUUAUCAGCAGCCUUCAGUGCAACCAUGGAUCAUGUGACUCCACAGUGCCCCCAGCACAGCACGGGACGGGUCUCAGAGUGUGUCCGGCUCCAGUCCUCCACCCAUGUUUUUCCUUCCUCUUCCCCUUUUUCUUUUUCCUCAGUUUCCUCCUGGGUCGUGAGAAUCCCUCUCCCCUCAUCUGGCCCUCUCCACGUUGUCAAAUUCCAGCAUCCGAGUUGUUUUUCCCAGAGAGGCUCUCUACCCAGCUACCUAGCAAGGUGCCAUCUUCUUUCCCUCUGCAAAAGUGAUAUUUUUAGAAACAUAUUCCUUUAAGGUUAUGAAAAAUUUGGUUGUUGUCAUAGCUCAAGUACAUGGAUGUAAGGGGACAUUUGAUUCUUUGGAUAUCUGUAAAGCUGCUUUUGCCCAGAUCUUUCACUGAUAGUUUUUCCUCUCUGAAGACGACAAGAAUUUAGAACAAUUUCUAAUUCUGGUUCUAAUUCUGGCCAUUAAGGAAGUAGUGACUAAAGGAAGUAUUGAGAAGGCCUCCAUUGGGAAAGGAUUUAUGAUUUCCAAAUAGGGCAAGAACAAAUGAGAAAUGUCAUUUCAAUGGCAUAAUUCUUUUUUUUUUUUGACUGGGGAUUGAACUCAUGACCUCAUGCUUGCCAGGCAGGUGCUAAGCCACUGAACUAAAUCCCUGGCCCCAAUGGCAUGAUUCUUAGAGAAGGAAGGAUGUUCCAUGUGAUAGGGAAAAUGUACAAAAAAUAUAAUUCUGAUUUUGAAGGUGGUGUCCUGGACAUCUGCAUCUUUCUCCUUUCACUGAUCUCCAUUAGCCCCUUGACUAAUAAUGGAAACAAUAAUAAAAUAUUAUUUAUUAUUUAUUGAUAUUCAUAGUAGCAGCAUUAUUUUUAUUUAUAUAUGAAAACUAUAUUACUAUUUUAAUUGGUCUGUAAUGUACAUACAAUACACACCAAAGAUAAUUUGUUUAAUAUUAUUGCUAACUCACAAGACUAAUCAUUUGUUAGUCAUAGAGCUACGAUCUCUUUUUCUACAAUUCUGGAGCUGACACAUGACAGACUAAUUCUUAAUCAUCUGAGUGAGCAAAUGGGCCUCAAGAAAAAAAGAGUUAAAAUUCCUAAAAGUUACUAGUAUCAGAGGGAUGUCUUAGUUAGUUUUUCUUCUUCCAACCCCCUAAGUUAAAGGAAAAAAGAUAUAUUUGGUUGACAGUUUACAGAUGCUUCAGUCUAUAGAGAGCUGGCUCGAGAGUGGGAUGGCCUGACAGAGGGGCAUUAUAGAGGAGAAAUAGUACACAGAAGUGAGGCUAGUGAGAGCACGUUAAUGUAUUUAUGCAUGAUAUGUACCCCACGGCAGGUGUAGCACUCCCUUCUUUAAUCUUAGCCAGAACUAUGCCAAACCAAUCAGUGGACUGAUUUAGUAAUCAAAUGCCCUUGACCCCAGAACCACACACUCUAGAUCCAGUUACUGCUGAAAAGCACCCCACGUGACCACAUGUGGCUUUGGUGGGAGACAUUAAGACACAAACCAUAACAAAGGAUGACAAUCAUAAGGCAGUUAGUGCAUAUCUGUAAGAAUGGUCACAUGAAAACUAAAAUUCCAAGUGAGAGUUUAAAUGAUAGGGACUUUUUUUGUCAAAAUCAGGUUCAGAGCAAGUAAAAGUCAGCAUAGUGUUCAACGUUUAGCAAAAUGUUUGACUGCACAUAUUGCUUUUUCUUUUUUGUGCCAUGAGCUGUUUUUGUCCAAAAGUAGAAUGGAUAAUGGUAAAAGGUAUAUUUGGAAUUAGAGAUGGGAGAUGGCAUUACACAUGGAUUUCUGAAUUUUUAAAGUGGGGGCUUCAUAUUCAAGGCCAUAAAAUAUGUGCUCAUAGUUCCUUGAGCUGAUCCUCAUAAUUGCUGAGAAAUACUGUAGAAUGAAGAAAUCUCAGAGGUCUGGAGUUGGGCAAAUUGUACACAUUUUCCAAUAUUCAAAUGCAGGAGUGGGCAGAAGGUUGAACUUACAAAAUAUCUGCCGGUGAUCUCAGUAUUGAUUUCAAAUAGACUUAGGAGUUAGUCUAGAACUUAAUUGUUAAGGUUUACAUCUAGAUGUCCCCCUAAAGCCUCACGGGCUCAUAGGCAGGGGUUUGGGGAGUUGAUUGGAUCAUAGGAGUGUGAUAUCCGUCACUAGAUUAGUCCACUGAUGGGUUUAUAGCUGGGUGUGGUAUUGGGAGGUGAAGCCUUGUUCAGAGAAGAUGGAUCACUGGGUGUAGCCUAGAUAUACAUAACCCUCCACCUCCUUUGAUUUCUUGCUACUUCUUGUCUGCCUUGCCAUGAACUGUUUCUCCUCUGCCACCUGACUUGCCUUGAAGCCAGCUGACUAUGGACUGAAACAUCUACAAACUGUGAGCCAAAAUAAAUUACUUCUUUAACUUGUGGGUGUUAGGCAUUUUGUCCCAGCAGUGAGAAAGUAAUGAAGACGUUGAGAUAAGAAGCAUCAAGAUCCUGCAAAGAGUUCAUGUCUAGUGGGUCUUAUUUUCUUUAUGAUUGAGUCCUACUUAGCCUACAGAUGAGAGAAGUAUGGUAGGUAUCACUAACCUGGACUUUGACAGGGCAUAAGACAUUUUUCCCUCUGACAAUUGUUGUCAAAUUAUAUAUUCUGAAAACAUUUAUAAAUUACAUACCAUGCAUGAAUUAUAGAGGACUUAAAGGUUAACAAAUAUGCUGUUAAAGAAUUCACAGGAUUGGUAAAAGAUAGUGCAGAAGUUAAUUAUGAUAUAAAACAAGGAUUGGAAAAAUAUGAUCCAGAUCCAAAUCCAACCUGCUACCUGUUUUUAUAAGUAUAAUUUUAUAUGUGCAUAUGUGUGUGUGUUUCUAGGGAUUGAACCCAAGGCUUUGAAAAUUGAGCUGUAGCCCCAGGCUCUUAAUUUAUUGUUUGUUUUGAGACAGAAACUUGCUAAGUUUCCCAGGCUGGCUUAGAACUUGCAGCACUCCUGGUCAACCUUUUAUGUCUCUGGAAUUGCAGUUUGGAUACAGAGAACAACAAAAUGAUGCAUCUGUAAAAUAAGGCAGGAAAUGAUAUUGCCAUGGUGAAGAGGUGGCCAGCAUUUCUUCAUGUUCCUGUUGGCUCUGAUUGCAUGUCGAGAAUGAAUACUGCACCAGAAGGCUUGCAGCAGUUAUUUCUGGAUGGAGAGUCUGAGAGCAUCUAUUUCACUGAAGGUCACCAUGCUGGGUGUUACUGUUUUUACACAUUUGAACCAAACUGAUUGUGGAACAAGAUCUCUCAUUCCCACUUGCAUUUUCCUGACUAGUGGUGAGCCUGAGCAUAUCUCCUCUGUCUACUGUCAUUUAAAUGUCUUCUGUCCUCUGUAAUCAAACAUUGCUGUUGACCAUUUUGAUUGAUUGCUUUUUUCUUACCAACAUGUGUUUUAUGUAUUUGAUGAAUAGAAACUUUUUAUUAGCCAUCUGGAUUGCAAUCUUUUUUUUACCAUGUAUCACUUGAAUUUUUUCUUACAUCUUUUGCUAAGCUAAACUGUUUAAUUUUUAACAUCAAAUAUGUGUCUUUUUCUUUAUGACUUAAAAAUGUCCAUCUAGCUUAGAAAGACAUUCCCAUUUAUAAAGAUAUUUUCCAACAUAUAUUUUUUUAAAUUUUAAAUUCAUUCAUUAAGCUAGUAAUUUGCUGUUGUUUGAUGGUACUGGAGUUUGAACUAGGGCCUCACGUAUGCUGGGUAAGUGCUCUACUAUAGCUAUAUUAUAAAUUCUUUAUUAUAUUAUUUUGAAAGAAAGUCUUGCUAACUUUCCUAGGCUGGCCUUGAACUUUUAGUCUUUCUGCCUAACCUCCCAAGUGGCUGGGAUUAUAGUUAUGUGCUGCUCUUCUCUGCUAAUUCACUAAUUUUACAUGUAAACAUUUCACUCGUUUGUAACUUAUUUUUAAAUGAUGUGACAUAAAAGUCUUAAUUUUUUUCUUCCAGAUUCAUAAGCAAUUGUGCAAGCACCAUUUAUAAACAAUCACUUUUCCUGCUGAAAUUUAGAUGCUUUUAUUCUGCUUUAGAUGUUUAUGCCUACUAAGAGAGAUAAUUAAAACACAAACCUGGAAGAAUACACUUCAUCACUACGUUUGGCUAAUGGAGUUUUAUGUUAAGAAACAUAUGGUUUUAAACAAUAUGCCUAUUUUCACAUAGACAUGAUCUCCCAUUAUGAUAAUAGCACUUUUUGUUUACUAAUUACUCUUGAGAUUCAAAUAAUACGUACUGUUAAUUAGUGAACUUGUUCACUAGUUUUCAUUCAGAUAGUUUGAGUUAAGGUUGGUCCAGGAAAGAUGUUUUAUACUGUAGGAUGGUUUUGAAUAUAAGUAGUCCAUGUAGUAUUCUAAUCAUAAAUUUGCAUUGUCACUCUAAAUUGUAAAUCGUAAAAGUUAGUGUAUGUUUACUGCUUACGUCUUUCUUUAGUUUAGCCUGAGUUCAACAAAUCAUUGUAUAUAAGCAAUUUACUCUUGGUUUCAUGUUAUAUCAUGGUAUAUAUUCAUGAUAGUUUAACUAAAUGAAGUCAUAUUGGCAAUCUUUCUAGACAUAAAUAUUAGCAAAAGUUGAGAUUUUAUGCUUUCAUAAAGGUGUUUUUUUUAAAGUGGCAAAACUCUAAAGAAAUAUUCUUGUUCUCAUUUAAGAAGGUAAAUUGAUUGAGAUGGUUAUUUAUAUCAUUGUGGUAAUUGAUUGAUUGGGCUGCAUCCCACAGAUUUAGAUAUCACCUGCACAACUGGGUUAGAAGCAGACAUAAGUGAGAUAAUUCCAGAAACUAGUAAAGAGAUAUAAGCUGAGAAGGAAAUGAGGAGUGGUUGGCUAUGAACAAAAGUUGAAGUUUGAAGUUCGUAGUUGGUCCCAUUGGUAUUUAGCGUCUUGCUAAAAAGAAAGAAAAAAGAAAAAGAAAGGGCCAGAAUUUGCUGAAAUCAAGAAGACCCUGCCUAGCUCAUAUACUCUAUUCAUGACUAUCUGGCUGAAGUAUCAUUUUUAUUGUUCAAUUUAUUGUUUUCAUUCAACAACUUUUUAUCUAGCACAUAUUUUAUGUCAGACUAUACAGAUCCUAGCAUUUCAACAAUUCUGUCAACUUAUGUCUUUUUAUCUAACAUGAAUUUGAUGGUUAUAAAAUUAGUUUGCUAAUAAAAAAUUCACUGCAUUUGCUUAUACUCUGAACUGUUUAAAAAGAGAUUUAAGAAGGUUCAAAACUAUUUCAGUUAACUUCAAGUGAGUUGUCUUUAAAUUAUUUAAGCCACAUUCAUCAGAAGUGAUUCUUCUAAACUUCCAAGCACAUAUACUUGUUUUCUUGUGGUUAUGAAGAAUGAAAAUAGGUGCAUGGAAAGGAUUUAAAAUUCACAGAAGAAAAUAAAGUUUGUGUCAUGACAAUAUAUCUUCUAGAAGUUGAGAAUGUCACGUGUCUAUAGCAUAAAGGUUAUAUUUGAUUAUGAGAUGCAUUUUUAAUAUUUAAUUUUGAGUAGGUAAUGUAAGUGCAUGCCAUUCAAUUCAAAAGAUGUAAAAUAGUACACAGUAAAAAGUGAAUUUUCUCCUUUCUCCUGCCCCCUUUUCCAAUGCAAUCAAUAUCUUUUAUUUCCUGAGAUAAUUUGUGCUACUUCCAAAUAUAGGGGUAUAUAUUGUGUGUUUAUGAAUACAUUAAAGCCUUCAUAAAUUAUGGCACAUUUUACAUCGUUUCACACCUACUUAUUCAUUAGUUGUUUAAUGUGUUGUGGAGACCAGUCCUUUUCUGUACAUGAUGCUACUCCAUUUUUAAAUGACACAGUAUUUUAUUGUAUGAAUAAACUAGAAUUUAUUUACUAGUUACUUAUUUGUGGACAAUUUGGCUGUUUGCAAUAUUUUAUUCUUUUUUUUUUUUUUGUCUUUUUGAGACAGGGUCUCUUUAUGCAGUUCAGGCUGGCCUUGAGCUCACUUUGUAACCCAGGCUGGUCUCGAACUCGUAACGAUCCUCCUAACUCAGCCUCCAGAGUGCUGGGAUUACAGGUGUGAGCCACCAUGCUUGGCAAUAUUUUGUUCUUAUAAGAAUGUUUCAACAAAGAUUCCAUACAAACACUUCUAAAGUACAACCAGAGUCAAAGAAUCUGCCUAUUUAAAUUUGACAGACAUCACACAUUGUCUUCCAUAAAUGUGGUGUCAGUUUAUAAAUUAGACUAUAACCUAACUGGUAACAUUUGAAAUUUCCUUCUACCAGUAUUAUAUUCAAUAUUCUUGAAUAUUUUCAAAUAGUUUGAUCUUUGAUCACCUAACAUGGCGAAUGGUAUUUUAUUAUGUUUUAAUUUGUAUUCAUAUUGUUAUAAAUGAAGUUAAAUAUUUCUCAUAUAUGUAAGAACUAUUCAUAUUUCGUUUUUAGUGAGUACUCUGCCCAUGCUGUAUAUUCCUUCCUGUACUGGCUUGUUGGUUUUUUAAAAACCAUUUGGAGGAUCUUUUUAUUUAUUAAAGAAAUCAAUUCUCUGUUCCAGAUACGAGCUGCAAAUAUUUUUAUCCAGUUUAUUCCUCUUUUCUUUUAUUGCUCCUAGAUUUUGUGUCAUAUGCCAUUCUGACUCAGAUUUUUUAAAAAAUUUUGCCUUUUUUCCUCUAACCACUUAUGGUCUCAUGUUUUGGAUUUAUAUUUUUAAUCUAUUUCAUUAGGAGGUGUGCAGUAAAGGCCUUGUAUUUUUACUUUGUGCACUGGCUGGCUGGCAGCAGUAAAAUCUUCACAGUUUUUCCCUUUACUCCCUGGUUGAUGAACAAGCAGCCAUGUGAGUUGCUUGUUAAGAUAGAGUUCAAGUAGUGUGAGAUGCUUUCACAGCAUGAAGAAUAGGUAAAAAGGCUUCUGCAGGAGCCAAAGAGGAUUCCAAUGCUAACUUUUGCCUAUAUCAUUCUCUCUGUCUUUAUUCCUGCACCCAUAUGUGUUGCUUUUGGUUUUUGUUGCUUUAUCUAAUUCCCAGAUGUUCCUGUAAGGGUCUUCUACCCUCAGAAUGAAUUGGAUCAGCCCUCUUGACCUUCUGUUGGAAGAAAGGAAUGAGCAGACACAGAACACAUAUUUGCCUGGUGCCUUGAUUAGUUAUUCUGAGGUGCACAUGAGGCUGGAGCUGUGUGCAAUUUGACAUUCCAGCUGCUUGGGCCUUCGAGUAGCAAGUGACCUCUUGGGGACCUCACAGCCACCACAAAGUAAGCAGCCUUGGUCCACUAUUCACUUCCUCCAUGAAAUUUCUGUCUUGUGGACUGCUGGCCAUGUACUGAAUAUCCUGGAACCAUGAGCUAAAUGAAGCUUUUCUUAACUUAUGCGUGCUGAGUAUAAUAUGUCAGUCAUGAAAAGGCUUCAUCCACACUCAUUAAAUCAUCAAGCACAGUCAACUGCAUUAGGAAACGAGGCUAAGAUUUCAUUCAGUAAUGCAUUAGUUUGUCCAACUGUAUUAGAUUUGAUGGCAUGGACAGCUAUUCCAAAGAUAGCAAGAUAUACUAUGAUGUCACACCCAAGUCAUCCUAUCAAAAACUUGCUUGAGCUCUCUCAAGAAGUCCACAUGCAGGGUUCUGAGAGCUUUUGUCACCCUCUGACUCAUUUUGAAAGGAAGUGAUUGAGGAAGUUGUAAUCAGGGCUGAAGGGGAGGGAGGAGGAAGCAGUCUUCAGGAUUCUUCAGUGUUCUGUCCUAGACCCAUUGGCCUUCUGAUACAGACUGGCACGGGACACUGCAGUGAGCUCCAGCUCUUGGGCUGACCUUUCAACCUCCAGCACGCAGAUACCCUCUGCAUGCUCCCUCGUGACUUUGUGGCUGACCAUGGUGAUGAAUGGACAUGGACUGAUGGACACGAGUGACAGGCCUGCUGCCCCCAGCAUGAUGGACUCUCCUCCCGGCCCACCCACUCCCUCUCCUGGAGAGGAAGAACUGGAUUCACUUGUUUCUUUGUUUCCUCUGGCUGUCAGCUAGUGAAAAUCUCAUUUUACAAAAGGAUUAAAAGAAUCAUCACUUGUCAUGUCAUGGUGGUCAGAAGAGUGGGUUUAAAGACACAAAAAAAGUUUUUUUGAGAAAUAAGUAAUCUAUUUAGAAGUAAAUUAAAAAGGUUAAAAUUUAUCAGGAGUAGCAUUAAACAUUCAAGUUUUACCUUUUCCCAUGUUACCUGGGGGGAUAUUUAUUCUUUUGGGUCUCACUUUAUCUAUGCAAUCUCCAUUUUCAAUACAUCUGGAGUCUUCCAGGGCUGCCCUGGUGUAUUUACUAUGGUGAAGCUUCUGUAAAUCUCUCCCAUUGAAGGGCACAGCAGAAAUGGCCUGGCUGAAUUAUUAUGUAUGUGAGAGUGAAAACGUCUCACUUGAAGGGCAGAGAAGCAGGGAGUUUCCUGAGGGCAUUUCGAAAAUGGCAAGCAUCUGUAACGGUGAUUUCUAAAAGGACAUCAAAUCUAAUUAAAGGCAACGGGCAUCACAUUAAAGUUGUAAACUAUGUACUUGGAAUUUCAUGUAGCAUUCUGCUUGAAAUCCUAUUUACAAAGUUUAACUGGAUGUUUGAAUCUGGUCGAGGUGAGAGUUGCUUCUGGACCCCAUUUUUAAGGAAAAAUCCAUCUGUUCCAUUUUAGUCACUCCUGCGCUUUCUCUAGGAGAAGUUCUCCCCAGACUCUCCCUACCUUUUCCUGUUGUUAGCUGGGUACCUGGUGCUAUGGGCGUUAGGCUGAAGAGAGGGAUAAUCAGGUUAAUGGCUGUCAUCCACGGUAGUGGGGUAGGAAGACCAGGAACUGAGACAGAUGUUGGCAUUUCCGCUUCCCUUUUAGUUUCUUGUCUUUAUCUCUUUAUAAAAAUUCUCCUCCACCGCACAAGUAGCAUCCAUCAAACUAUGUAACAGAGACCUAUCUUGUAAGUCAUACAAAUUUAAUAAUGAUUCUAUGGGCUCAGGAAUCUCAGAUUGUUUUCUUUCUAAGUCAGAUAGGAAAUUGCCCAGGGGCUGUGAUGCUAGGCACUGUCUUUAUUUAUUUUUAAUUUUUAUUUUAAAGAGGGUAAAAUUAAACAGAACAAAACAGAUUCAUAAAAAACAUUUUAAGAAACCUAGAUUUCAAAGCAAGACCACUGGAGAUCUUCACUGUCUAUCGUAUUGUCUCUUGUUUUCUUCCAAAUAGUUGUCCACAUCUUCGCAUACAAUGAAUUCAUACAAAACAAAAUAGUAUAAAACUGAUGAGAACAGGAUGAUGAAGGCAUUUUAAGUCUUUGAGACCAUACAAUAGGGAAGUCAACAAUGGCUGUCAUAAUAUCUCCUGUUCUCUUCAAAAUAACUGUCCAUACCUUCAUGUAUGUUGAAAUUAAACAAAACAAAACAGACUAAAGUCACUCUGAACAAAGAAUAAUAGUAUUGCUGGAUUUCACAUCAUGAUGCUAUGGAAUCAUAGAGAUCACUGCCUUCAUUUACAGUCUCCUGUCUUAGAAUCUUAUGUACCUGUGUCUCUAUCUGAGAUUUGGAUCCAGUAAUUUUAAAUGUGGGAGCCUGGAAAUGUGAUUUUUUUUUUUUUUGGUACUGGAGAUCAAAUGCUUGACCACAUGCUUGCAAAGCAGGUGCUUAUGUCACUGAACUAAAUCCAUAGCCCUGGAAAUGUGAAUUUUAAAUAGCUAUUCCAGGUGAUUAUCUUAAUGUGGUGUGUAUUAUUUAAUAUUAAUUAGUAUUUAUUUAUUUAAUUAUUUUACUUGGACAUUUCCAAGUGGACACAAAAAUAUAUUAAAUUGAGAAAUAAAAUUCCAUGUAGCUAUUAUCCAUUUUCAACAAUUAUCAAUACAUUUCAUUUUGUCUUUGUCUCUACUAAGUUUUUAUUCUUUAUAUACUUUAAAAUGAGUCUACAUAUCAGGUUAUUUCAUUAAAAGACAUUUAAGUAUGGACCUAAAACAUACAUUUUUCAAUUUUUAUGGAAUUGGUAUGGCAUGUACCACCUCCCCAAAAUAAUUCUGUGACCUCAGUUCAUACUCAAUCUAUAUUCAGAUUUCUCUGAUUAUAUAGAAAUGCCUUUAUAGUUGACUUGUUUAAAUCUGCCCACGUGUAGUCAUACAUUGUAUUUAAAUACGGUGAUACAGAGUCUCUUUCGUCUCUAUUCCAGUGGGGCCUCUGUUUUCUUGAUGAUAUGUAGAGAAAUGAGGCCUUUUACAAUUUUGAAUUGCAUAAUGAGUUCCUUGCCUGGGAAUCUUGUUGAAAUGCAGAUUUUUGACUCAGUAAAUCAGGGGUAAGGCUGAGAGUCUAUAUUCUUAGCUAAAGCUAUAAUUCUGAGGUUGAGGUGUCAGAACCACACUUAGACCAGUCUGUGAAAAAGGCCUAUCCUUGGUUUUGACUGACAGCUUUGUUUUGCCAUAUUUGACUUUAUUCUCUCCCCCCCC
Molecule: long non-coding RNA, 18374 nt
Organism: Cavia porcellus (domestic guinea pig)
Lineage: Eukaryota; Metazoa; Chordata; Mammalia; Rodentia; Caviidae
Exons: 12
Source: RefSeq, a predicted model, not a curated record